ACGUAGGGGGCCAGCGUUGCUCGGAAUUACUGGGCGUAAAGGGUCCGUAGGCGGUGCGGCAAGUCGGAAGUGAAAUCUCAGGGCUUAACCCUGAGGCUGCUCCCGAAACUGCCGUGCUCGAGUGCGAGAGAGGCGAGUGGAAUUGCAGGUGUAGCGGUGAAAUGCGUAGAUAUCUGCAGGAACAUCCGAGGCGAAAGCGGCUCGCUGGAUCGCAACUGACGCUGAGGGACGAAAGCUAGGGGAGCAAACAGGA
Molecule: ribosomal RNA, 253 nt
Filed under: uncultured prokaryote
Description: partial 16S ribosomal RNA
Rfam family: Bacterial small subunit ribosomal RNA
Source: RNAcentral